GGGGAAUUUUUCGCAAUGGGCGCAAGCCUGACGAAGCAACGCCGCGUAGAGGAUGAAGGCCCUCGCGGUCGUAAACUCUUGUCUAGCGGGACAAAACUUUUACAGAUGAAUAAUCUGUGAGAUUGACUGUACCGCUGGAGGAAGCUCCGGCCAACUACGUGCCAGCAGCCGCGGUAAUACGGGGGGGGCGAGCGUUGUUCGGAAUUACUGGGCGUAAAGGGCUCGUAGGUGGCCAACUAAGUCAGCUGUGAAAUCCCUCGGCUCAACCGAGGAAUUGCGGCUGAUACUGGAUGGCUUGAAUCCGGGAGAGGGAUGUGGAAUUCCAGGUGUAGCGGUGAAAUGCGUAGAUAUCUGGAGGAACACCGGUGGCGAAGGCGGCAUCCUGGACCGGUAUUGACACUGAGGAGCGAAAGCCAGGGGAGCAA
This 425-nucleotide ribosomal RNA is filed under the name uncultured bacterium. RNAcentral describes it as "bacterial SSU rRNA". It matches the Rfam family "Bacterial small subunit ribosomal RNA", at positions 356 to 771 of the family's 1533-position model. The record is from RNAcentral.